UUGUUGUUUUUUAAUCAUGUCUUCUUUUUUUUCUUUCUUUUUCUGUGAAGAACUGUAAAAGCACCCUUGCAGGAGGCCUGAACCAUAGAAGGGAAUACCGCCUUAGCCCUUACCCAGGGAUCUGACAACCAGUGAAAUUAAAAUGGCCUCUCAAGGUGACGUCCGUAUUUCUCUUUCUCCCCAUCUUCUCCUGUCAACAACCCUGCCAAGCCGGUUAGGCUGAGAGGGAGUGGCUAGCCCAAGAUCACCCAGUGCUUCUCAUGGCUGAGCGGGAAAUUGAGCCCUGCUCUUCCAGGUCCAAGCCCAGCACUCUAACCACUAGGCCACAUGGACUCUCCUGGAAUCUUGGCAUGGUGGCCGUGCGUUCCAUGUCACCAAGCAACGGAGGCUGUGACUGUUUGAACUGAGGUUCUGGCAUCUUCAGCGUGGAGAGGUUGGCAGAGGUUUGCUGUAGUGACCCUUGCUUAUUUGGAUUAGAAUAUGGCAUCUCAAAGACUCCUGGGGGUCACCUUCCUUCCUGCGGAGCAGCUCUUGGAGGCCAAGUGCUUCCUGGCCAGUGACCUUGCUGCUGAGAGCACCUUUGAGCCCUUGGACAUCUCCCACUUGCUGCAAGAGUUCAGCGGCAAAGCAGUGGAGGUAGUAUGCUGCCAGGGUAGGAGAGAAGAAUCUCCGCCUUGAAGUAGGGGAGUCCACCCCAUGCCAUUGGGUGGCCAUGACACAUGUUUGUUGGGAGGGGCCUCACAAUGUCAGAACAAGAACCUCA
This is a long non-coding RNA of Podarcis raffonei (Aeolian wall lizard), 763 nucleotides long. RefSeq lists it as uncharacterized. The record is from RefSeq and is a predicted model, not a curated record. The transcript has 3 exons. NCBI's taxonomy places the organism in Eukaryota, Metazoa, Chordata, Lepidosauria, Squamata, Lacertidae.